Molecule: ribosomal RNA, 253 nt
Filed under: uncultured bacterium
Lineage: Bacteria
Description: partial 16S ribosomal RNA
Rfam family: Bacterial small subunit ribosomal RNA
Source: RNAcentral
UACGUAGGGUGCAAGCGUUGCCCGGAAUUAUUGGGCGUAAAGAGCUCGUAGGCGGUUUGUCGCGUCUGCUGUGAAAACUCGGGGCUUAACCCCGGGCCUGCAGUGGGUACGGGCAGACUAGAGUGCGGUAGGGGAGACUGGAAUUCCUGGUGUAGCGGUGAAAUGCGCAGAUAUCAGGAGGAACACCGAUGGCGAAGGCAGGUCUCUGGGCCACUACUGACGCUGAGAAGCGAAAGCAUGGGGAGCGAACAGG